Molecule: ribosomal RNA, 450 nt
Filed under: uncultured bacterium
Lineage: Bacteria
Description: partial 16S ribosomal RNA
Rfam family: Bacterial small subunit ribosomal RNA
Source: RNAcentral
GUGGGGAAUAUUGGACAAUGGGCGCAAGCCUGAUCCAGCCAUGCCGCGUGUGUGAAGAAGGCCUUCGGGUUGUAAAGCACUUUUGUCCGGGAAGAAAACCCUGGGGCUAAUACCCACGGGGAAUGACGGUACCGGAAGAAUAAGCACCGGCUAACUUCGUGCCAGCAGCCGCGGUAAUACGAAGGGUGCAAGCGUUACUCGGAAUUACUGGGCGUAAAGCGUGCGUAGGCGGUUUGUUAAGUCAGAUGUGAAAGCCCCGGGCUCAACCUGGGAACUGCAUUUGAUACUGGCGAGCUAGAGUACGGUAGAGGGUGGUGGAAUUCCCGGUGUAGCGGUGAAAUGCGUAGAGAUCGGGAGGAACAUCUGUGGCGAAGGCGGCCACCUGGACCAGUACUGACGCUGAGGCACGAAAGCGUGGGGAGCAAACAGGAUUAGAUACCCGAGUAGUCC